Long non-coding RNA from Phyllostomus discolor (pale spear-nosed bat), 407 nucleotides. RefSeq lists it as uncharacterized. Lineage: Eukaryota; Metazoa; Chordata; Mammalia; Chiroptera; Phyllostomidae. The record is from RefSeq and is a predicted model, not a curated record. The transcript is spliced from 3 exons.
AAUCUUCCUGAAAGAGGUUGUGAUUGAAGGCUUUAUUUAAGGGUGUCUUCAAGAUUCUUCAAGAGGAAAUAAGCAUGCAGAGAAUGGCAAAUUCUCUUGAUGACUGAAAAUUAUCAUCCCUUUCCCAUACCAUCAUAAUUCCAAACUCCCUUGGAAAGUCCUUAAAAUAGGCAGUCUCUGGAAAAUAUGAUGUGGAAAGGAUCUACUCAAAAUGCAAGCAUAACUUUUAUAGCUAGGCAUUUACACAGCUUUCCCUUAGGAAAAAUGAAUGUUGAUUAACUCUGUUGCUUUGACUAUACUACAAAAGUCCAUAUUCAGACAUGAGUCAGGAAAGCAAGUGGUUAGGGAGUGAUGAAUACCACAGGCAAGGAGGAGUUGAAGAUAAGAUAAUCUGUGUUCACAAUUUU